RNAcentral lists this ribosomal RNA (268 nucleotides) under Blastocystis hominis. RNAcentral describes it as "partial 18S ribosomal RNA". It matches the Rfam family "Eukaryotic small subunit ribosomal RNA", at positions 42 to 331 of the family's 1831-position model. The record is from RNAcentral. Lineage: Eukaryota; Bigyra; Opalinata; Blastocystidae.
GAUUAAGCCAUGCAUGUGUAAGUAUAAAUAGUUAACUUUGAAACUGCGAAUGGCUCAUUAUAUCAGUUAUAGUUUAUUUGAUGAAGAAUACUAAUUGGAUAACCGUAGUAAUUCUAGAGCUAAUACAUGUAUAAAGUCUUGUAGACUGCAUUUAUUAGAAUGAAAACCAUAGGUUUCGGCCUAUUCGUGAGUAAUAAUAACUAAUCAUAUCGUAUGCGAUUUGUAACGAUGUGUCUUUCAAGUUUCUGCCCUAUCAGCUUCGAGAUAG